This 253-nucleotide ribosomal RNA is filed under the name uncultured bacterium. Its description in RNAcentral is "partial 16S ribosomal RNA". It matches the Rfam family "Bacterial small subunit ribosomal RNA", at positions 524 to 776 of the family's 1533-position model. The record is from RNAcentral.
UACGUAGGUGGCAAGCGUUGUCCGGAAUUAUUGGGCGUAAAGCGCGCGCAGGCGGUCCUUUAAGUCUGAUGUGAAAGCCCACGGCUCAACCGUGGAGGGUCAUUGGAAACUGGGGGACUUGAGUGCAGAAGAGGAAAGCGGAAUUCCACGUGUAGCGGUGAAAUGCGUAGAGAUGUGGAGGAACACCAGUGGCGAAGGCGAGUCCCUGGACAACUUCUGACGCUGAGGCACGAAAGCUAGGGGAGCAAACAGG